UACGGAGGGUGCAAGCGUUGUCCGGAUUUAUUGGGUUUAAAGGGUGCGUAGGCGGCCUUUUAAGUCAGUGGUGAAAGCCCGCGGCUCAACCGCGGAACUGCCAUUGAUACUGGAAGGCUUGAGUACAGACGAGGUGGGCGGAAUUGAAGAUGUAGCGGUGAAAUGCUUAGAUAUCUUCAAGAACACCGAUUGCGUAGGCAGCUUACUAGGCUGUAACUGACGCUGAGGCACGAAAGCGUGGGGAGCAAACAGG
Molecule: ribosomal RNA, 253 nt
Filed under: uncultured bacterium
Lineage: Bacteria
Description: partial 16S ribosomal RNA
Rfam family: Bacterial small subunit ribosomal RNA
Source: RNAcentral